This 450-nucleotide ribosomal RNA is filed under the name uncultured bacterium. Its description in RNAcentral is "bacterial SSU rRNA". It matches the Rfam family "Bacterial small subunit ribosomal RNA", at positions 29 to 524 of the family's 1533-position model. The record is from RNAcentral.
AACGAACGCUGGCGGCAGGCCUAACACAUGCAAGUCGAACGCGUCCUUCGGGACGAGUGGCAGACGGGUGAGUAACGCGUGGGAACGUACCCUUUGGUUCGGAACAACAGCGGGAAACUGCUGCUAAUACCGGAUAAGCCCUUCGGGGAAAGAUUUAUCGCCAGAGGAUCGGCCCGCGUUAGAUUAGCUUGUUGGUGAGGUAAUGGCUCACCAAGGCUACGAUCUAUAGCUGGUCUGAGAGGAUGAUCAGCCACACUGGGACUGAGACACGGCCCAGACUCUUACGGGAGGCAGCAGUGGGGAAUCUUGGACAAUGGGCGAAAGCCUGAUCCAGCCAUGCCGCGUGAAUGAUGAAGGCCCUAGGGUUGUAAAUUACUUUCGUACGGGGAAGAUAAUGACGGUACCCGUAGAAGAAGCUCCGGCUAACUUCGUGCCAGCAGCCGCGGUAAU